Molecule: long non-coding RNA, 1146 nt
Filed under: Trifolium pratense (red clover)
Lineage: Eukaryota; Viridiplantae; Streptophyta; Magnoliopsida; Fabales; Fabaceae
Description: long non-coding RNA (TPRA_LNC009376)
Source: RNAcentral
CUUUAUAAGUGCUUUUUGAAGAAACAAUUAGAUUAUUUACUUUACAAAUGCCCUCCAAGUAGUUCAAUAUAAUUUUCAUCCUAAAAAUUGCUUUCUUUAAUUUGGACUCUUCAUUUAUACUAUCUUUAAGAAGCAAAGAGGUAACAUAAGGAAGAUUAUACAAUAUGAUAUUUGUUCAUCAUGUUAUAGGUUCACCUGCAGAUAAAAAAAUCUGAACUGAAAAUCUAAAAACCAAAUUGGAGAUAUAAAGAGAUGCAAGAAGAGAACUACCACUUAUAACAGAUGAUCAAAACCUUCAAGCUAGAUCAAAAUCCACCCUUUAUCUGCAAAAACCACAAUCUCAUCAAAUGUUAAAAAAUAAAUCAUCAAAUAAUCAAGAAAUUUCAAAUCUUACGAUCUAUAUCUACCCUUUUCAUUCUGCAAACCUAAAAAAGAGAUCCCUUUUCAUUCUGCAAACCUAAAAAAGAGAUUUUUAAAAGCUAAAACUAUUUUACCAAACUCAAAAACAUAAUAACCUUAAUCACCAAAAAUAAAAAAUUAGGUCCAAAAUAAUCUACUUUUCUUGUUACAUCUAAAUCAACAGAAAUAGAAUAGCAAAAUAUUCGUCUAUUGACACCUAUAAAAUCAAAAAAUCAACUUAUUUUGAAUUCAGCUGUACCAAUCAACAACACCCUAAUUAAACCAAUGUUCAAAGGGCUGACAAGGAGAAUCACAAAUAUUUGCAAGAAUUUGUUUCAUGGUUGAUGCUUCCAAUAAACCUUAUUUUUUUGUGCCUCUGCUAUAUCUCAUCCUCAGAUCCAAUGCCAAACUUUGAAGGACUUUAGUCACUGCUAAAAAAUUCAACUAACUAAUAAGAUAAUCCAAAAGUAUAGGAAUAGCAGAAUCAAUUAAGGGAUUAGGUUUGCUUAUCUUAGUUAAUAUGAUAUAUUGUUUUUGUAACUCAACACCAUAUUUUCUAACUCAACAAUCAAAAUUUUCUAACUCAACAUAACAACACAAAGGAUUGAGUAUAUCCAUUAUUUAUAUUUAUUCAAUCUAUCAAUCAAAGAAACAAAUCAAAAUUUUCCAAAAACCUAAAACCUAGAAAAAUUAUAGAUUUAGAAUAAUUGUACCAGUCUGUCGCAUAGAAAAAGCUUUUGUGGUNNN